AGCGAACGUUGGCGGUAGGCUUAACACAUGCAAGUCGAGCGAGGCGUAAUAGUCGAGCGGCGAACGGGUGCGUAAUACAUGGGAAUCUACCCUGAAGUGGGGGAUAACGUUCAGAAAUGGACGCUAAUACCGCAUAAUCCACAUUGGGAAAGCGUUGCAGCGCUUUAGGAUGAGCCCAUGGCUGAUUAGCUAGUUGGUGAGGUAAUGGCUCACCAAGGCGACGAUCAGUAGCUGGUCUGAGAGGAUGACCAGCCACACUGGAACCGAGACACGGUCCAGACUCCUACGGGAGGCAGCAGUGGGGAAUCUUGCGCAAUGGGGGCAACCCUGACGCAGCCAUACCGCGUGAGUGAUGAAGGUCUUCGGAUUGUAAAGCUCUUUCGGCGGGGACGACGAUGACGGUACCCGCAAAAGAAGUCACGGCUAACUUCGUGCCAGCCGCCGCCGUAA
This 450-nucleotide ribosomal RNA is filed under the name uncultured bacterium. RNAcentral's name for it is "partial 16S ribosomal RNA". It matches the Rfam family "Bacterial small subunit ribosomal RNA", at positions 29 to 523 of the family's 1533-position model. The record is from RNAcentral.